GACGAACGCUGGCGGCGUGCUUAACACAUGCAAGUCGAACGGAAAGGCCCUGCUUUUGUGGGGUGCUCGAGUGGCGAACGGGUGAGUAACACGUGAGUAACCUGCCCUUGACUUUGGGAGAACUUCAGGAAACUGGGGCUAAUAUCGGAUAGGAGCUCCUGCUGCAUGGUGGGGGUUGGAAAGUUUCGGCGGUUGGGGAUGGACUCGCGGCUUAUGAGCUUGUUGGUGGGGUAGUGGCUUACCAAGGCUUUGACGGGUAGCCGGCCUGAGAGGGUGGCCGGCCACCUUGGGACUGAGGUAGGGACCAGACUCGAACGUGAGGCAGUGGUGGGGAGUAUUACACAGUGGGCGGAAGCGUGAUACGACGGCGCCGCGUGCGGAAUGACGGCCUUCGGGUUAUGAACAGCUUUCGCCUGUGACGAAGCGUGAGUGACGGUAAUGGGUAAAGAAGCACCGGCUAACUACGUG
This 468-nucleotide ribosomal RNA is filed under the name uncultured bacterium. RNAcentral's name for it is "partial 16S ribosomal RNA". It matches the Rfam family "Bacterial small subunit ribosomal RNA", at positions 28 to 507 of the family's 1533-position model. The record is from RNAcentral.